CGGCAGCGCGGGGCAACCUGGCGGCGAGUGGCGAACGGGUGGGUAAUAUAUCGGAACGUACCCUGGAGUGGGGGAUAACGUAGCGAAAGUUACGCUAAUACCGCAUACGAUCUAAGGAUGAAAGUGGGGGAUCGCAAGACCUCAUGCUCCUGGAGCGGCCGAUAUCUGAUUAGCUAGUUGGUGGGGUAAAGGCCUACCAAGGCAUCGAUCAGUAGCUGGUCUGAGAGGAUGGCCAGCCACAUUGGGACUGAGAUACGGCCCAGACUCCUACGGGAGGCAGCAGUGGGGAAUUUUGGACAAUGGGCGCAAGCCUGAUCCAGCCAUGCCGCGUGCGGGAAGAAGGCCUUCGGGUUGUAAACCGCUUUUGUCAGGGAAGAAACGGCUCUUACUAAUAUUAGGAGCUAAUGACGGUACCUGAAGAAUAAGCACCGGCUAACUACGUGCCAGCAGCCGCGGUAAUACGUAGGGUGCAAGCGUUAAUCGGAAUUACUGGGCGUAAAGCGUGCGCAGGCGGCUUUGCAAGACAGAUGUGAAAUCCCCGGGCUCAACCUGGGAACUGCAUUUGUGACUGCAUGGCUAGAGUACGGUAGAGGGGGAUGGAAUUCCGCGUGUAGCAGUGAAAUGCGUAGAUAUGCGGAGGAACACCGA
Molecule: ribosomal RNA, 648 nt
Filed under: uncultured soil bacterium
Lineage: Bacteria
Description: bacterial SSU rRNA
Rfam family: Bacterial small subunit ribosomal RNA
Source: RNAcentral